GGGGGGCCAAAUAGCGGGCGUUCACCAUGCAGUCGAGGGGUAGAAGGUCUUCGGAUCUUUGAGACCGGCGAACGGGUGAGUCCCAUGUAGGUAAUCUGCCACGAGGUUGGGGAUAGCCCUUGGAAACAUGGGGUAAUACCGAAUGAGCUCCUUUGUUGUGAGAUGAAGGAGGAAAGGCGCUUCGGCGUCGCCUUGUGAUGAGCCUGCGGCUGAUUAGGUAGUUGGUGGGGUAACGGCCUACCAAGCCGACGAUCAGUAGCCGGCCUGAGAGGGUGACCGGCCACACUGGGACUGAGAUACGGCCCAGACCGCUACGGUGGGCAGCAGGUAAGAAUCUUCCGCAAUGGACGAAAGUCUGACGGAGCGACGCCGCGUGGGUGAAGAAGGCCGUGAGGUUGUAAAGCCCUUUUCUACCUGAGGAAUAAGCCCCAGAGGGAAUGCUGGGGUGAUGACGGUAGGGUAGGAAUAAGCCCCGGCUAAUUACGUGCCAGCAGCCGCGGUAACACGUAUGGGGCGAGCGUUGUUCGGAUUUAUUGGGCGUAAAGGGCGCGUAGGCGGACGUGCAAGUCUGGUGUGAAAGACCGCAGCUCAACUGCGGGCACGCACUGGAAACUGCAUAUCUUGAAUCCUUGAGGGGGAACUGGAAUUCCUGGUGUAGGGGUGAAAUCUGUAGAUAUCAAGAAGAACACCGGUGGCGAAGGCGAGUUCCUGGCCAGUGAUUGACGCUGAGGCGCGAAAGCGUGGGGAGCGAACAGGAUUAGAUACCCUGGUAGUCCACGCCGUAAACGAUGUGCACUAGGCGUUGGGGUGUUGAAACCUCAAUGGCGGACCUAACGUGGUAAGUGCACCCCCCUGGGGAGUAUGCCGGGCACCGGGGAAACCCAAAUGAAUGGGCC
This 896-nucleotide ribosomal RNA is filed under the name uncultured bacterium. RNAcentral describes it as "bacterial SSU rRNA". It matches the Rfam family "Bacterial small subunit ribosomal RNA", at positions 24 to 915 of the family's 1533-position model. The record is from RNAcentral.